This 253-nucleotide ribosomal RNA is filed under the name uncultured bacterium. RNAcentral describes it as "partial 16S ribosomal RNA". It matches the Rfam family "Bacterial small subunit ribosomal RNA", at positions 524 to 776 of the family's 1533-position model. The record is from RNAcentral.
UACGUAGGGUGCAAGCGUUGUCCGGAAUUAUUGGGCGUAAAGAGCUCGUAGGCGGUUCGUUGCGUCGGCUGUGAAAUCCCGAGGCUCAACCUCGGGUCUGCAGUCGAUACGAGCAAACUAGAGUGUUGCAGGGGAGACUGGAAUUCCUGGUGUAGCGGUGAAAUGCGCAGAUAUCAGGAGGAACACCGGUGGCGAAGGCGGGUCUCUGGGCAACAACUGACGCUGAGGAGCGAAAGCGUGGGGAGCGAACAGG